UGGAAUGGUUGAGAGAAUUCAACUUCUAACCGCUUUAAUUCAAGUGGCUAAUUAAAGCUGUUUUGUGUUCAUCGCUCUCAAGGCUCCUCCAAUCAAGAGUAUAAUAUGAAUAUGCAAUGGUUGAAGAGUAGUCGUUCAUAUCUUAGUGUAAUUUGAUCAUGUUCUUAAUUAAUUAGCACAAGUACUCAACUCAUGCAUAUAAAAAGAAAAGAAAAAGGCAACUUAAUUAUAGUAGUAAGCGUAUGCAUUAAGAGAGAAAGAGAGAGAGAGAGAGAGAAUGGCCAAAGCAUUUGUUUUCUUUUCCCUGCUCUUUGUCACCAUAUCCCUUGUGGAUGCUGAUAUCAAUGCUGAUGCCACCGUGCGUUUCUGUUGGCGUCUGUUGGAAUGUAAGCCUCAAAGAUGCUCCGACUCAGCAGAUUGUCUAAGGAAAUGCAUGGAGAAUAAAGAGGAGCCACAGGCGUUAGCGGGAAAAUGUAAGCGCAGUGGAAUAUUUUCAAAAAGGGGUACAUGUUAUUGCCUCGUCAGGUGUGGCUAAACGCCACGUAUUUUUGAAAAGUAGUCAUUUCUUUUUUCUUUUUCUUUUUUUCUAAUUAAAAGUAGUGAUGAUUAGCAUACAAAUAAUGUAAACUACUUUAAUCUUUGUUAUUGCCUCUUCAAUUGUGGUUGCACGCCACCUACUUGAAGACUCAUUAUUAGAAUAUGAACUAAUUAAUAUUGUGUCUA
Long non-coding RNA from Alnus glutinosa, 723 nucleotides. RefSeq lists it as uncharacterized. The transcript has 2 exons. NCBI's taxonomy places the organism in Eukaryota, Viridiplantae, Streptophyta, Magnoliopsida, Fagales, Betulaceae. The record is from RefSeq and is a predicted model, not a curated record.